Molecule: ribosomal RNA, 406 nt
Filed under: uncultured bacterium
Lineage: Bacteria
Description: partial 16S ribosomal RNA
Rfam family: Bacterial small subunit ribosomal RNA
Source: RNAcentral
GACGAACGCUGGCGGCAGGCCUAACACAUGCAAGUCGAACGAGUGGCGGACGGGUGAGUAAUGUCUGGGAAACUGCCCGCUGGAGGGGGAUAACUACUGGAAACGGUAGCUAAUACCGCAUACCAUCGGAUGUGCCCAGAUGGGAUUAGCUAGUAGGUGGGGUAAUGGCCUACCUAGGCAACGAUACAUAGCCGACCUGAGAGGGUGAUCGGCCACACUGGGACUGAGACACGGCCCAGACUCCUACGGGAGGCAGCAGUGGGGAAUAUUGCACAAUGGGCGCAAGCCUGAUGCAGCCAUGCCGCGUGUAUGAAGAAGGCCUUCGGGUUGUAAAGUACUUUCAGCGAGGAGGCGUUACUCGCAGAAGAAGCACCGGCUAACUCCGUGCCAGCAGCCGCGGUAAUUC